GAUGAACGCUGGCGGCGUGCUUAACACAUGCAAGUCGAACGGAAAGGCCCAAGCUUGCUUGGGUACUCGAGUGGCGAACGGGUGAGUAACACGUGGGUGAUCUGCCCUGCACUUCGGGAUAAGCCUGGGAAACUGGGUCUAAUACCGGAUAGGACCACUUCUUGGAUGUUGUGGUGGAAAGUUUUUUCGGUGUGGGAUGAGCUCGCGGCCUAUCAGCUUGUUGGUGGGGUAAUGGCCUACCAAGGCGUCGACGGGUAGCCGGCCUGAGAGGGUGUACGGCCACAUUGGGACUGAGAUACGGCCCAGACGCCUACGGGAGGCAGCAGUGGGGAAUAUUGCACAAUGGGCGCAAGCCUGAUGCAGCGACGCCGCGGGGGGGAGGACGGCCUUCGGGUUGUAAACUCCUUUCGCUAGGGACGAAGCGUUUUGUGACGGUACCUGGAGAAGAAGCACCGGCUAACUACGUG
Molecule: ribosomal RNA, 467 nt
Filed under: uncultured bacterium
Lineage: Bacteria
Description: partial 16S ribosomal RNA
Rfam family: Bacterial small subunit ribosomal RNA
Source: RNAcentral